UAGCCUUGACAUACUACAGAAUUUGACAGAGAUGUUGAAGUGCCUUCGGGAGCUGUAAUACAGGUGCUGCACGGCUGUCGUCAGCUCGUGUCGUGAGAUGUUGGGUUAAGUCCCGCAACGAGCGCAACCCUCGUCACUAGUUACUAACGGUUCGGCCGAGGACUCUAGUGAGACUGCCUUCGUAAGGAGGAGGAAGGUGAGGACGACGUCAAGUCAUCAUGGCCCUUACGGCUAGGGCAACACACGUGCUACAAUGGCCAGGACAGUGAGACGCGAUACCGUGAGGUGGAGCAAAUCUAUAAACCUGGUCUCAGUUCGGAUUGUAGUCUGCAACUCGACUACAUGAAGCUGGAAUCACUAGUAAUCGUAGAUCAGCUAUGCUACGGUGAAUACGUUCCGCGGGUCU
Molecule: ribosomal RNA, 406 nt
Filed under: uncultured bacterium
Lineage: Bacteria
Description: bacterial SSU rRNA
Rfam family: Bacterial small subunit ribosomal RNA
Source: RNAcentral